GGGUCGGUGGUCGGAUGGUCAAAACCGUUGGUUUUCGACCACUACGACCCGGGUUCGAUUCCCGCAUUGGGCACU
This is a non-coding RNA of Cordylochernes scorpioides, 75 nucleotides long. The record is from the annotation of a GenBank genome assembly. NCBI's taxonomy places the organism in Eukaryota, Metazoa, Arthropoda, Arachnida, Pseudoscorpiones, Chernetidae.